This 253-nucleotide ribosomal RNA is filed under the name uncultured bacterium. RNAcentral describes it as "partial 16S ribosomal RNA". It matches the Rfam family "Bacterial small subunit ribosomal RNA", at positions 524 to 776 of the family's 1533-position model. The record is from RNAcentral.
UACGGAGGGUGCAAGCGUUGUCCGGAUUUAUUGGGCUUAAAGGGUGCGUAGGCGGCUUUUUAAGUCAGUGGUGAAAGCCAACAGCUCAACUGUUGAACUGCCAUUGAUACUGAGAAGCUUGAGUACAGACGAGGUAGGCGGAAUUUAUGGUGUAGCGGUGAAAUGCAUAGAUACCAUAAAGAGCACCGAUUGCGAAGGCAGCUUACUAGGCUGUAACUGACGCUGAGGCACGAAAGCGUGGGGAUCAAACAGG